UGAGCAACCUGCCCUUGACUCUGGAAUAACAGUUGGAAACAGCUGCUAAUACCGGAUAUGACCUCUGGCGACAUCGUCUGGAGGUGGAAAGCUCCGGCGGUCAAGGAUGGGCUCGCGGCCUAUCAGCUUGUUGGUGAGGUAACGGCUCACCAAGGCUUCGACGGGUAGCCGGCCUGAGAGGGCGACCGGCCACACGUGGGACUGAGAUACGGCCCAGACUCCGUAGGGAGG
RNAcentral lists this ribosomal RNA (231 nucleotides) under uncultured bacterium. RNAcentral's name for it is "partial 16S ribosomal RNA". It matches the Rfam family "Bacterial small subunit ribosomal RNA", at positions 118 to 348 of the family's 1533-position model. The record is from RNAcentral.